CUAAGGUACUUAUGCUCGAUCUAUUGCUAAGCAAGCUUUUCUAUACUACAAUUUCGAUUGUCAAGGGUGCCUAAUUUUCAAGCUAGGCUUUUCUCAGUUCACUUGCCAUUACUAGAGGAAUCAUGGUAAGUUUCUUUUCCUUUGCUUAUUGAUAUGCUUAAACUCAACGGGUGAUCUUGCUUAACCUGGGGUCAUGAUUUGAGCAUUAACCAAGCAAUACAGGGAGUUCAGAUGGACAACGGGCACUUGUCACUAGAGAUGAGGCAUGCUUAGAGCUUUAGCAUUGAUAGUCAUGAUGCUAUCAUUGCCAGGGACUCACUUUUAGGCCAACCAUGACCAAUGAGAUCACGAAAGGCCAUGUGUGUGAGUCAACGAGCUAGAAAACCUAUAAGGCGUGAGGAAGUUGAUUGGCUCGAUCCUUCACGAGUGCACUACUGAUUGACUUUGAUCUUUUAAGAAGGGUUUGAGUGUGAGCAUGCAUGUUAGGACCCGAAAUAUGGUGAACUAUGCCUAAGUAGGGCAAAGCCAAAGGAAAUUCUGAUAGAGGCCCAUAGCGAUAUUAAUGAGCAAAUCAUUUAUCUAACUUAGGUAUAAGGGUGAAAGACUAAUCAAACCAUUUAGUAGCUAGUUCCCUCUGAAGUUUCCCUUAGGAUGGCUAAAGCCCUUAGCGAUUUCUAUCAGGUAAAGCCAAUGAUUAGAGGUAUCGGGGGUGUAAUGCCCUCAACCUAUUCUCAAACUUUAAAUUGGUAGGAUGGCACUAUUGCUUCAUUGAGUGGCACCAAAGAAUUGAGAACUCUAAGUGGACCAUUUUUGGUAAGCAAAAUUGGCAAUGCGAGAUGAAUUGGAAGUUAGGUUACAGUGCCUAAUUGCAUGCUAACCUAGAACCCAUAAAGGGUGUUGAUCGAUUAAGAUAAUUAGACAACAGUUAUGGAAGUCAAAAUUUGAUAAAAAUGUGUAACAACUCACCUGCCGAAUCAAUUAGCCCUGAAAAUGGAUGGCACUUAAGUGCAUGAUCUAUACCUGAUUAUCAAGCUAAGGGCUAGGCCUCGAUGAGUUGGAAAACAUGAUGGUUGCUAUAAAACUUUGGUGUGAGCUUGGAUGGAGCGACCAUCAAUGUAGAUUUUGGUGAUAAUAGUGAAUACUUAAAUGGGAACUUCGAAGGUCAAAAAGGGGAAAGAUUCCAUGUGAACAACACUUGCACAUGGGUUAGUCGAUCCUAAGAGUCAAGGGAAGCCUGUCUGAUUGUGCAUCCAACAUGAGCUUUGAAAGGGAAUCAGGUUAAAAUUCUUGAAUCAAGACACGAUAGUUGACAACAACAUUAGAGAGUUUAGAGACGUUAGCAGAGGCCUUGGGAAAAGUUAUCUAUUCUGUUUAAUAGCUUGUCCACCCUAAAAACAGCUCAGUUAGAGGUAGGGUCCAAUAGUCGAAAGAGCACCGCACGUCACAUGGUGUCUAAUGCACCCCUGAUGGCCUGUGAAAAUCUAGAGGAUGGAGUGUCAUCCAUGCCUAGUCGUAUUCAUAACCACAUCAAGUCUCGAAGGUGAAUAGCCUCUGGUCGAUAGAACAAUGUAGGCAAAAGAAGUUGGCAAAAUGGAUCCAUAACCUUGGGAAAAGGAUUAGCUUUGAGGUUUGGGCAUAGGGUCCCAAUCCUAAACCCAUUGACUAUCAGUGCACUACUUGAGCUAUCCCCAUAGCGAAACCUAAUCGUUGCAUGCCAGCUAGGGGAUGGACUGGAAAUGGCUCCCUUAGGGGCUUUCCCCGAGUGACAAACAGUCAACUUAAAAUUGGUAUAGAUAAGGGAAAUCCAACUAUUUUAUUAAAACAAAGCAUUGUGAUGGUCCUUGCAAAUGCUUAGACAAUGUGAUUUCUACCAGUGCUUUAAAUGUCAAAGUGAAGAAAUUCAGCCAAGCACAAAUAAAUGGCAGGAAUAACUAUGACUCUUUGAAGUUAGCCAAAUAUCUCGUCAUCUAAUUAGUGCAUGAAUGGAUUAAUGUGUUUCCCACUAUCCCUAUUUACUAUCCAGCAAAACUAUAGCCAAAGGAAUGGGCUUGGCAAAAUUAGUAGGGGAAAACGACCUUGUUGAGAGUCUAACUUUGUGAAAUGACUUGAGAGGUGUAUGAUAAGUGAGAGCCAUCAGGCAAAAUUGAAAUACCACUACUUUUAACAUUAUUUUACUUAUUUCGUGAAUUAAAAGUGAGGCAUGACCCAUUUUUUUGGAUCCAAGGCUAGCCUUGGUUGGUCGAUUCGAGCAAAAAACAUUGUCAGGUGAGGAGUUUGGCUAGGGUGGCACAUCUAUUAAAAGAUAAUGUAAGUGUCCUAAGAUGAGCUCAACCAAAGCAAAAAUAUUGUAUGGAACAAAAGGGUAAAAGCUCAUUUUAUUCUAAUUUCCAAUGCAAAUAUGAAUCAUUAAAGUGUGGCUUAUCAAUCCAUUAAACCUUCAAAAUUUGAAGCUAAAGGUGUCAGAAAAGUUACUACAAGGAUAGCUGGCUUAUGGUAUAGUGACAUUGCUUUUUGAUCCUUCGAUGUCAGCUCUUCUUACCAUUAUGAAUUAGAAUUCACCAAGUGUUGGAUUGUUCACCCACCAAUAGGGAAUAUAAGCUAGGUUUAGACAAUUAUAAGACAUGUUAGUUUUACCCUGCUGAUAGUAAUGUCGUAGUAGUAAUUCAACCUAGUACUAGAGGAAUCAUUGAUUGAAACAAUUAUUCAUCACGCUUGAUUGAAAAACCAGUGGCAUUAAGCUACCAUACACUGGAUUAUGACUAAAUGUCUCUAAGUCAUAAUUGAAGCUAGAAUCAACGUAUUCACUCAUUGCCUAAUUGCCAACCUGCAAUAGGGGCCCAUGGCCCUUAAGGGCACAUGUCGUAGGUGCAAUCCCUGUGAUGGACAAACUACACAAGCUUCCUUAGAGCUCAAUUGCAAUGACUUAGAUAUGUGAUGGGAUAUUGUAAGUAGCAGAGUGGCCUUAUUGCCAUAAUUCACUGAGAUUUAACCCUUCGUUUUGAUUUGUCCUUCCCUUCUAC
RNAcentral lists this ribosomal RNA (3020 nucleotides) under Durio zibethinus. Its description in RNAcentral is "eukaryotic LSU rRNA". It matches the Rfam family "Eukaryotic large subunit ribosomal RNA", at positions 430 to 3401 of the family's 3401-position model. The record is from RNAcentral. Lineage: Eukaryota; Viridiplantae; Streptophyta; Magnoliopsida; Malvales; Malvaceae.